Molecule: ribosomal RNA, 1546 nt
Filed under: Gyrodinium sp. HJ-2011
Lineage: Eukaryota; Dinophyceae; Gymnodiniales; Gymnodiniaceae
Description: eukaryotic LSU rRNA
Rfam family: Eukaryotic large subunit ribosomal RNA (bases 614-1546)
Source: RNAcentral
GUCGUAACAAGGUUUCCGUAGGUGAACCUGCGGAAGGAUCAUUCACACACGUUGAAUUCACCUGCUUCACAUGAACUUUCAAGUGUGAGGUCCCGCUUUCGGGUUCCUCGUGGGCGGCAAGGCAGCAACUGCCCUCUUUCGAGUGGUGUGCUGCCCUUGUCGUCGGUUGUCUGAACUUCAACUUGCGUGUUGUUGUCUUUUUGCCCGUUGGCGGUCAGCGCCAAGCGGUGAAUGCUUUCUUACAACUUUCAGCGACGGAUGUCUCGGCUCAAACAACGAUGAAGGGCGCAGCGAAGUGUGAUAAGCAUUGCGACUUGCAGAAUUCCGUGAACCAACAGGGACUUGAACGUAUACUGCGCUUUCGGGAUACCCCUGAAAGCAUGCCUGCUUCAGUGUCUACUUCGGUUUCAUGCUGCCGGCGGGUUUGCUUCGUGCAAGCUCCUUGUGUCGGUUGCUCGUGUCUGUGCACCGAGGAGUUUCCUGCAAACCCUUGAUGCAUCAAGCGCAUUGGCCCUUGGCAGCAACCAACUAACAGAACCUGGCCUUCUAGGUGGUUUCAUUUCUUGCGUUGGUGCCUUUGGCCUGCUCUCUCGGUCCUCAGCGACCGUUGCCUUGACAUGAAGUUAGGUCAGCAAACCCGCUGAAUUUAAGCAUAUAAGUAAGCGGUGGAUAAGAAACUAAACAGGAUUCCCUCAGUAAUGGCGAAUGAACAGGGGUGAGCUCAGCAUUGAAAUUUGGGCCCUCGGCCUUGAAUUGUAAUCUCGAGAAGCGCAACCAACGGAGGCGCAGGUGUAAGCCUCUUGGAAAAGAGCACCAGCGAGGGUGAGAGUCCCGUUCGUCACUUGCAGUCCUCCGUGUACGGUGUGCUUUCUAAGAGUCACAUUCCUCGGGCUUGGAACGCAAAAGGUUGUAAAUUUCAUUGAAAGUUAAAUAUAGGUUUGAGACCGAUAGCAAACAAGUACCAUAAGGGAAAGAUGAAAAGAACUUUGGUAAGAGAGUUAAAAGUGCAUGAAAUUGCUGAAAGGGAAGCGAAUGGAACCAGUGUUUCUUGGCGAGAUUGUUAUGCGCUAAGCUGAUAGUCGGUUUCCUCAGCGCAAACGUGGUUGCUGGCUUGGAAGUGGACGCGUGUGGUGUUUCUUGCCUUGCUUGUCAACGUCAAUUUGGAGUUGAGGAAAAUUCGAGGGACCUGGUAAGUUGCUCACGGGUGACUGAAUGUGCCUUGUAGAAAUCAUCUCUAGAUUGAAGACCUCGUGUCUGGUUGCAAUGCCCCUCUUAUGGCUUGUCGCCCUGGGAAAUUCAGCAGGUGCACUGCCUUCUUGCUGGGUGCAUUUCUUGACGCGGAGAUGGUGACAAAUGGUUUCACGCGACCCGUCUUGAAACACGGACCAAGGAGUCUAACAUAUGUGCAAGUUCCCGGGUGGCCAAACCUGCUGGCGUAAUGAAAGUGACUGCUGGGAUUUUUGCACCAGCAACCGACCAAUCGAUUUUGAGAGGUUUGAGUAUGAGCACAUCUGUUAGGACCCGAAAGAUGAUGAACUAUGCGUGA